Molecule: non-coding RNA, 72 nt
Organism: Podarcis lilfordi (Lilford's wall lizard)
Lineage: Eukaryota; Metazoa; Chordata; Lepidosauria; Squamata; Lacertidae
Source: the annotation of a GenBank genome assembly
AUCAAUGGCACAAUGGCUCAGUGCAUCUGGCUGUUAACCAGCAGGUUGGUGGUUCGUGCCCACCCAGAGAUG